This 497-nucleotide ribosomal RNA is filed under the name uncultured bacterium. RNAcentral describes it as "partial 16S ribosomal RNA". It matches the Rfam family "Bacterial small subunit ribosomal RNA", at positions 28 to 507 of the family's 1533-position model. The record is from RNAcentral.
GAUGAACGCUGUCGGCGUGCCUAAUACAUGCAAGUCGAGCGAACGGACGAGAAGCUUGCUUCUCUGAUGUUAGCGGCGGACGGGUGAGUAACACGUGGAUAACCUACCUAUAAGACUGGGAUAACUUCGGGAAACCGGCGCUAAUACCGGAUAAUAUUUUGAACCGCAUGGUUCAAAAGUGAAAGACGGUCUUGCUGUCACUUAUAGAUGGAUCCGCGCUGCAUUAGCUAGUUGGUAAGGUAACGGCUUACCAAGGCAACGAUGCAUAGCCGACCUGAGAGGGUGAUCGGCCACACUGGAACUGAGACACGGUCCAGACUCCUACGGGAGGCAGCAGUAGGGAAUCUUCCGCGAUGGGCGAAAGCCUGACGGAGCAACGCCGCGUGAGUGAUGAAGGUCUUCGGAUCGUAAAACUCUGUUAUUAGGGAAGAACAUAUGUGUAAGUAACUGUGCACAUCUUGACGGUACCUAAUCAGAAAGCCACGGCUAACUACGUG